GACGAACGCUGGCGGCGUGCUUAACACAUGCAAGUCGAACGGAAAGGCCCUGCUUGCAGGGUGCUCGAGUGGCGAACGGGUGAGUAACACGUGGGUGAUCUGCCCCUUACUUUGGGAUAAGCCUGGGAAACUGGGUCUAAUACUGGAUAGGACCAUGCUGUAGGUGGUGUGGUGGAAAGAUUAGUUUCGGUAAGGGAUGAGCUCGCGGCCUAUCAGCUUGUUGGUGGGGUAAUGGCCUACCAAGGCGUCGACAGGUAGCCGGCCUGAGAGGGUGGACGGCCACAGGGGAAAGGAGGUAGGGCCCAGGCCCCUAAGGGGGGCGGGAGGGGGGAAUUGUGCAAAGUGGGGGAAAGCCUGAUGCAGGAACGCCGCGGGGGGGGGGAGGGCCUUGGGGUUGAAAACUCCUUUCACCCAUGAAGAAGCCCUUGUGGGGGCGGUAGGGGAGAAAAAACCACGGGCAAACUAGUU
RNAcentral lists this ribosomal RNA (468 nucleotides) under uncultured bacterium. Its description in RNAcentral is "partial 16S ribosomal RNA". It matches the Rfam family "Bacterial small subunit ribosomal RNA", at positions 28 to 506 of the family's 1533-position model. The record is from RNAcentral.